AUAAGACACAGGUAGAAAUUUGAAGGACUUCAUAAAAUUUGCAUUACUUACUACAAAUUCUUUCUUGGCAAAUAGUUAGAAUUGAAAUAUAUUCCCCCUCCUCCCUUGAUUAGAGGUAAUAUUAUUUUGGUUAGUUCUGUUCAGGAAUUCCUUGAUAGUAACCUAUAAAUCAAACCUUUGAAUCCAGUUUAGACAUUACAAUAUUAUUGUUUCUCUUUUAGACAUAUAGAUAUACACAAACACCUGUGUGUACAUCUUUGUAUCUGUAUCUGAGUCCUUCACAGAUAAGGAUAGCAUUAGUUCUCAUUUUGCCCAACAAAUAUUUAUUGAUCAUUUUCCCCCAACAAUAUUUAUUGAUCUUUUAAAAAAUUUUUAGUUGUAAAUAAACACAGUGUCUUUAUUUUUAUGUAUUUAUGUAUUUAUUUAUUUAUUUUAGGUGGACACAAUACCUUUAUUUUUAUGUGGUGCUGAGGAUCAGACCCAGAGCCUCCUGCAUGCCAGGCAAGCAGUCUACCAC
Molecule: long non-coding RNA, 517 nt
Filed under: Marmota monax (woodchuck)
Lineage: Eukaryota; Metazoa; Chordata; Mammalia; Rodentia; Sciuridae
Source: RNAcentral